AGUCGAGCGGUAACAUUUCUAGCUUGCUAGAAGAUGACGAGCGGCGGACGGGUGAGUAAUGCUUGGGAAUAUGCCUUAGGGUGGGGGACAACAGUUGGAAACGACUGCUAAUACCGCAUAACGUCUACGGACCAAAGGGGGCUUCGGCUCUCGCCCUUAGAUUAGCCCAAGUGGGAUUAGCUAGUUGGUGAGGUAAUGGCUCACCAAGGCGACGAUCCCUAGCUGGUUUGAGAGGAUGAUCAGCCACACUGGAACUGAGACACGGUCCAGACUCCUACGGGAGGCAGCAGUGGGGAAUAUUGCACAAUGGGCGCAAGCCUGAUGCAGCCAUGCCGCGUGUGUGAAGAAGGCCUUAGGGUUGUAAAGCACUUUCAGUAAGGAGGAAAGGUUAGUAGUUAAUACCUGCUAGCUGUGACGUUACUUACAGAAGAAGCACCGGCUAACUCCGUGCCAGCAGCCGCGGUAAUACGGAGGGUGCGAGCGUUAAUCGGAAUUACUGGGCGUAAAGCGUACGCAGGCGGUUUGUUAAGCGAGAUGUGAAAGCCCCGGGCUCAACCUGGGAACUGCAUUUCGAACUGGCAAACUAGAGUAUGAUAGAGGGUGGUAGAAUUUCAGGUGUAGCGGUGAAAUGCGUAGAGAUCUGAAGGAAUACCGAUGGCGAAGGCAGCCACCUGGGUCA
RNAcentral lists this ribosomal RNA (679 nucleotides) under bacterium WP1ISO4. Its description in RNAcentral is "bacterial SSU rRNA". It matches the Rfam family "Bacterial small subunit ribosomal RNA", at positions 60 to 736 of the family's 1533-position model. The record is from RNAcentral.